RNAcentral lists this long non-coding RNA (3035 nucleotides) under Homo sapiens (human). Its description in RNAcentral is "long independently transcribed non-coding RNA 2009 (LINC02009)". Lineage: Eukaryota; Metazoa; Chordata; Mammalia; Primates; Hominidae. The record is from RNAcentral.
AAAGCCAUGUCGAAACCGCCUACUCGAGUGUUUUUCCAGUUACCUGCCACCCACCCACCAACUCCCCUUGGACUUUAGUUUGGGCUAGAACCUGACAAUUGGCAUCACGAACAGGAUCCUAAGCGGCUGCAAGUGAGCAGGUGGUUAGUGGCAGCGCAAGGAGACCACACCCUGACUGAGUGGCUACAGGCAGCCAUAUGAACUGUGUGGAAUAAUGCUGGUGAAAUGCCCAAAACUAUUUAGAAGCAGUGGCACCCCUCUUGUGGCAACAUUUGGCAGCAUGCAGUUGGGCCAUCAACAAAUCCAAGGUCCGAGGGCCUGGAUUACCUGCUAAAUUCUUGGGAGUUAUCUGGUCGGGGCUGAAGUUCCAGGCUGGACCUGAUGCUCCAAACCUUGAAUGAAUGGCCAUGGAAAAGCAGCCCAGCCCAGGUGGAGGCUUUGUUACAUGGGCCACCACCCCUAUUCAGUUGCAGAUACACACCAAGGGUAACCGCCUCUGACCAGGUUAACAUGCUCCAACUGCAUUGUGGACUGGGCCCACACCUACACUGAAGUGACCAAUGUUUCCAACUGUUGGAUCUGCACCGCCCUUCUAGCAGCUGCAGAUGGCUUGCCUUAGCACAUACAUUCAGCAUCUGCAGAGAACCAGACAUGGCUGGAGACUUGGGGUCCCAUGGCUGAUGCCUGGAACGCAACGUGGCAAGUUUUGGACAAAGGAUGCCACAAGACCCACAGCACAGCCAUUCCCUGGCUGGCCCAUAGCAUUUAUGAUGGGUGGGGCUGGCUAGUGAGGUAACGUGCAGUACCCCUGGCCCAGGCACUGUGGUGCAUAUAGCAACACUGGGGUAAUAGCACUGUGGGAUGGGUACCCGUCACAGUGUGUGUAAGCAUAAUACAUGUCACCACACCAAAGGUAUGGUGGAAGACGCGGCCCCACCAAGGGGCCUCGAUGGACUGUGUGCCCCCUGGGAGUUUAUGGGUCUGUGGGGACACAGGGUGGCCUUACCUAUAAGCAAACUGGACUGGACAUUAUACCUGAGGGUGGCCUCAUGUACCUGCCACUGUUCUCACAUUGCCCAGAUGCCUGCAUAACUGGGAGGUGCUACACUCUCGGUUUUUGCAAGUGUAAUGAGCACCCUGGUGGUUUUACCCCUUGACAGGCACUAGCCCUGGAGUGUGUGUCACAACUGUAGAAGCCAAGUUACUGCUCUUGCAGAGCAUGCUGCUCAGGCUCUGAAUUACACCUGAGUGGCCCUCUUCCCAUUAAUGGAUGAGGUUGAUCAGAUCAGAAAGGUGGUGUUGCGAAACCGAAUGGUCUUAGACAUAGUAACUGCUGCCUAAGGAGGCACCUGUGCCCUUUUAGGAACACAAUGUUGUACCUUUAUCCCUGACAAUUGGCAGAACAUAACAGCAGCCCUGCAAGGGGUCUCACAGGAGAUUAAGGUAGUCAAGAGCCUUACUGAUGACCCCCUGCAGAGAUGGUAGACAUCCCUGGGCUCUGGCCUACGCUGGGCCCUGAUAGUCAUAAGUAGCAUAGCUGGAAUCCUAGUCGUGAGCUGUUGCUCUCCGUAUUGUUGCUGUGGAUUAUGGAUUCAGGGCUCCACCCUACGGGCACAUGUCCCUACCUGGAGGAUGCCCCUGGCCUAGGGGUGGAGUGUAAGGAAGAUGGCUGCGCUUUAGUCAGGAGCAGGCUGAGGCCACUUUUUGGUGCACCAUGACUCAGUGGGUUUGGAGCGUAGGCACACGACUCCGCACAUUAUGAACCAUGCCACUUGAGGUGCAUUAGGUGACCACUCACGUGAGCUCGUGAUUGCUUCAGAGCCUCUAUUGUCUGUAAAAGGUAUAAUUACCCUGCUGACACUGGACAUAUGGCUCGUGCCCAGAGAGAGGAUAAGGCCAUGUUCAAACUGCCUAUGAUUCCUCGGGUGUUUUUUCAGCUACCCCUCACCCACCCACCAACUCCCUUCGGACUUCAGUUUGGGCUAGAACCUUACACCCACAUAAACUAAAGCUGUAUGGGGUCCUCAGUUUUCAAGCACAUAAAAGUAUUCUGUAUCCAAAAAGUUUGUGAACCACUGCCCUAGAGAAACUUUCCAUGGCGUGCAAGAUGUAUGUAAGAAUGCCCAGUAGAGACAUAAUAAGAAACCAGAAAAAGUGGAAAUCUCAAUGCCUGUCAUCAAGAGAGAUAAAUGCAGCGUGGUCUAUUUCUGUUCUCCUCACAUUGCCCAGAUGCCUGCUUAACUGGGAGGCGUUAUGUUCUCAGUUUUUGCAAGUGUCAUAAAGGAGUGAAUGGAGCAUUACCUGUCAUUAUAGACACUGCAAAAUGAGCUAGUAGCAGGAUUUUUACCACAGGUACCCAUAAGCAACAUGUGGCAUGGUUCACCAUGGUUUUACAUUGUUGUGUAAAUAACUUAAAAUUAUGUGAAUAAUGUAAAAGCAUGGUGAACAAUGCCAUGUUUUGCUUAUGGGUACCUGCGGUAAAAAGCAAAAAUCAUGACCCUGAAGGGGUGAGCAGGCCUACAGGUGCUGGGCAGGCACUGUCUUGCAAAGAGCACAAAAUGUGCAGGUCCCUCUGGGAGUGUUAUAGUGGGUAGCUAGUCAGAAAGAGCAGGGCAGGAGAGGGCUCCCCAUACCCCACACACCAGGAGUGUCAGGUGACCAUCAGGUGAUGGUCUGGCGGUUGUUGACUGUCUUUCUAAAGUAAUAAUUGGUCACACCCGGCAACAGGGAAAAGCCGGCUCCUAAUAGAUAGAAAACACUCGAAACUGGUGAGCAGUAGUUUCCCUAUAAGAUCUCAGGAGUUGAGCCAGUGGGCUCAGGCAGGCACAUGGGACAGCCCACCCCAAGGGAAGAACCAGGGGAGAAAUAACGCAAGACCCCGAAAGCAUGCUGACGUAUAAAACCCCAAGUCAAAAGGUCAAACCACGCACUUGCUUUUUAAGUCGUCCACUUGGCCCUCUUCCAAGUGUACUUUCCUUCCUUUUGUUCCUAUUCUAAAGCUUUUAAAUAAACUUUUACUCCUGUGCUAAAACUUG